Non-coding RNA from Dipodomys ordii (Ord's kangaroo rat), 106 nucleotides. NCBI's taxonomy places the organism in Eukaryota, Metazoa, Chordata, Mammalia, Rodentia, Heteromyidae. The record is from Rfam.
AUCUUUUUUUUGGUUCAUAAGCAUGAUGGUUGAGUUCUCACGUGCUUGUGUGACUUGUGCCUCUCUCUAAACCUAGUUACAACCUGGGCACAUUACCCAUCUGACA